This 4581-nucleotide long non-coding RNA is filed under the name Homo sapiens (human). RNAcentral describes it as "HSALNT0117171". Lineage: Eukaryota; Metazoa; Chordata; Mammalia; Primates; Hominidae. The record is from RNAcentral.
CCUCCCUCUGCAACAGAGCUGGCUGCCCCAGCCUGUGAUUUGUGUUUACACAGGCUCCACAAUGAGGUGUGGCACUUAAUGAAAGGGCUCUGUCACUUACCCAGUGAAACAGGGAGUCUGAAGGCCAAAGAACUGGUUACUUCUUGUACGUGAGGCAGGACGAUCUGAGCUCCGGCCCGGACGGAGGGCGAGCACUCGGCUCCCUUCAGUUCAGCACAGAGGAGCAGACCUGCUGCUGAGCUGCCGUGCAGCACGAGCUGGGGGAGCGGGAAAUCAUGACCCACAGGCUUGUCUUCAGAGAGCCUGUUGAGGGUGGCAUGUGAUGGGCACCUGAGCACCCAGAUACAGUUGAGGUGCAUAAAGAGAAGGAGUAUGAUGUGCAAGGCACACACCUGUACUCAGCUGAGUGCCACAAUACACAGAAGCCCGAAAUAGCUGUCGGAAGCCGGUGGCGGCUGCACUGCUGCUCCUAAUAUACACUUCCUUGCACCUGUGUCCUGAGCCCUUUGCCGAGUGACUUGGCUGUGCCCCUGGUGAGAAGAGUGCAGCAGACAGGAUCACAUGCCUCCAACGUGGGAAGGGGAACACGUCGACCCUAGGCAAGCAGAGGGCCUUAGCAUGCUGACUCUGCAGGCUCAUCCUGGGGCCUGCCUGAGCAGCCGUGUGGGCACCGGGACUGCAGUCCUUUCCCCUGCCUGCCCCAGCCCCACCAUCUCUUGCCUGGAGGUCAUUUGGCCACCCUCUUAGUGUCAAAGGCAGAAGCUAUGAGAAAGAAGGAUAGGAGAGGGAUGCGGACCAGUUUUCAAAUCCGGCAGGAGGAGCAAGGUCCUGGGGAGCAUGUGGUGGAAGGACUUUAAGGAAACUACAUCAUCAUUACGAAGACUGGGGAGCAACAGCGUCAUGGGCACCGCUCUGCUCUGCAUGAAGGAGUCCGACAGCUGCCAGCGGGGAGCUUUGGUGGUGCCAAAUCCCCUGGAGAGAGGAGGCUGCAGCCCCAGGCAGCAGGGAGCCCUGGAGGAAGCUGCCUCUGCAGACUCGCGGGAAUGCCAGCUCCGGGUUUCAUUCCUUUGUUCACUGCUGCUUCCCAAGUGCCAGACGGAGCCUGGAACUCAGUGGCUGCUCUAAAGAUACUGUUGAAUGAGUAAAUGAACGGAAUUGCACAGGAGCGAGGCCACAGUUCUACAGCUGAGCUGCCUGUCACGGCCCUCACCCAACCACCACUGCUGGAAAUGUGCAGACAGGGUGUGCCUCUCCCGUUUAAGGGAAAUGUAUUGAGAUAUCAUUCACAUACAUGGCACGUGCUCAGGGAGCCCCCCAGGAUGACAGAGCUCACCCAUCACCCCACAGAACGUCUCUGCCCCAUCCAGGCAGGCCCCAGAGUACACUGGGUCUGGCUUCUUUAGUCAGAGGUGGUUUGAGUGAGUCUAGAGACUUCAUAGAAUCUGGGUCACAGAGCAGGCACCCUUUUCCAUCUGGUGUCUUCCACUCAGCGUAGCGGUCCCGAGAUCCAGCGUGUCUCUGCUAGGAUCAGCGGUUUGCUCCUUGGUGUUGCUGAGGAAAAUUCUACUGCAUGGAACACCACCAUCUAUCCACACUGGAUAGACACCAGAUGAGUGCUUCCGCCUGCUGUGAAUGAAGCUCCUAUGAACAGUCUCAUAUUAGGUAUGAAAGGAAAAUAAAUCAAUCACUAAACAAAGGGGAAAGUCAAGCUGGGAGCUGCCUCCCAUCCUAUUCCUAAAUAAGAUAGCUACAAAGAUAAAAACGCUGUUCCUCCCUCACAAUUUGCUCACAAGGAACUUCCUUGUGGAACAAGGACAGACAGAACUCAAUCAUCCCUCCGCUCACAUGAGACAAACACAGAUCGGAAUGCUUCCUCCGCCCUGUUGUUUCACCCAGCCAGACUAAGGCAUACGUAACUAUUCCAGUAAAUUGUGCAUUCGGUGAAAGGCUAAUCAGAAACUUAAAAGAAUGCAGCCAUUUGUCUCUUAUCUACCUACAACCUGGAAGCCCCCUGCGCGCUUUGACUUGUCCUGUCUUUCCAGAUAGAACCAAUGUACAUCAUACAUAUAAUGAUUGAUGUCUCAUGUCUCCCUAAAAUGUAUAAAACCAAGCUGUUCCCCGACCACCAUCACCAGGACCUCCUGAGGCUGUGUCACGGCACGUCCUCAACCUUGGCAAAAUAACUUUCUAAAUUUAUUGAGACUUGUCUCAGAUACUUUUUGGUUUACAAAGGUGUUUGUGGACAUGUAUAUUCAUUUCUCAUAGAUAAGUACCUAGAAGUUGAAUUGCUUAGACAUGAGUAAAUGUAUGUUUAACUUUUUCAGAAACUCCCGAACAUAUUUCCAAACUAUACCGUUUUACACUCUGUCAGCAGAAUUUAAAAGUUUCCACUGAACCACAUCCUUGUCAACGUUUGGUAUUGUCAAUAUGUUUAAGUUAUUGAUAUUGUUCUAGUGAAUGUGUAGAGACAUCUCGUUUUGGUUUUAAUUUGCAUUUUCCUAAUGAGGAAUAAUACUGAGAAAUUUUUUCUUUCAUAUUGUCAUAUAUGUGUCUUCUUUCUUAAAGUGCCUAGUCAAAUAUUUUGCUCAUUUUUUAUUGCUUUUUAUUAUAAACUGUGUUUUUUUAAAUAUUAUCUUAACACACGUCUUUUGGCUGAUAUAAUAUUGUAAAUAUUUUCUCCCAUUCUGUGGUCUACUUAUUGUUUCCUAAUGCUGUCUUUUGAAGAGCAAAAUAUUUUUCUCCAUUUAUGGAGACAAGAUGGUCAACUUAGCUAUUCCAAAAUGUUUUUAAAAUUCUAGUUUGUUUUAAAACAACCACAGCAAACUGCAUGGAUUUGUUCCACAUCUUUGAAAGAAAAACAUUAUUUUAUUUAUUUCACAGUGGAAGAUAAGUCAGUAAGGCCCCACUUCGGCAGGUUUUGUUUUCGUUUCCUCAUGCCUCUGCAAUGCUCGGAGUCACCCACGCCUUACUCACUGCGGCUGGAACGAACCCAGACUCCUCACUCCUCCCACAGCCUCUGGCGCAGGGCGCUCCUUGCUUGAAAGAAACGUUUGCGAUUUUUAGUGGAAACGUCCGUGUUUUCUUGGUAACUGGUAAAUGGCUGUAGAUUACUGACACGCGGUCCUUUGUACGUAACAGAAGGCUUUGAGUGUUUCUGUGAGGAUCACCCUGUGAAGAAACGGCUGCAGUGAGAGCAGCCGAGGCGGGACGCAGCCCCGGACGUGGGGUCAGAGAGGAGCCCUUGCUUUGUUAUCCGGAGGGUAGCCACGGUUUUAGCUCACAGUGAUGUCAACUUGAAGCUUCUCUCCACAAGCAGCUGUGACCUCAGCUGCCGUGCAGUCAGCUUCCCCGGCCUCCCUCCCCAGCCUCCCUGGUCUCCCAGGCACAAGGCUGGGCACUGGCUUCAGAGUGGCUGCAAGGGCACGGCCCCCAGGCCUAGGGCUGAUCAGCGUGAACAGUACCCAGCACACUUGCUUCAAAAAGUAAGAAGAUAUAGAACACAAGCUGCUUGUUCUCAUGACUAUAGCACAAACUAUAAAACAAAACAUCUUCCUCCAGAACACGGCAAGCUGGAUGGACAGUGAUCUGGACAAAAAUUUGCUGUAGGUUUUGUAACUGGGGUUCAGUGAGGACCAGGCUCCCCAGAGCAUACAUGUGGAGACAAUUAAGUUGAUCCCAUUUUCCAAGACUCAGAGGAGAUGUAUUUAUAUUAGGAAUAUAAACUUGCUAUUAAUGCAACUUCAGAAUGUCCAGGUCAUCCGUUGGGAAAAAAAAAAGAGUAAGUCUAGGGCUGGUUCGUGCUGUUGCUACAUGGAGGGAAUCCACAUCCAAGCCUGCCGCUCACAUGCUGGGACACAUUGCCUCAGCCUCCAUCUCUGGGAGUCCCACGCUUUCUCUCCUGGGUUGUCCCACUAUUCCUUUUGAAGUCCUCAUGUUAGUGACAGUUCAAUUUUCUCUUCACCUUCAAAAUUGCAGAGAACCUAAUUUCUACUGACCAGUCAAGCUUGUUUCAUUUAUCUUCCAUGUUAACUUCAAUUAAAAUGUUAACCAUCUGGAAUCUUUGGCCUCUUAUGUGACAAAAAUAGGCAUUAAAUUGUAUCAUUUCUUAAAUUCUCUGUUGAAAAGUCCAAAUACGUUACUGAAUAUGAUACAGAUUAGUAAGAAUUUGGGCUCAUUAAAUGUAAGAUAAUUUCAUAGCUUAAGGUAAUUUCACACCCCAAGGGACUUAUAACCUAAACACAAAGCAGAUCACCAACAUUAACUGUCAGCUGUCCACUGGAGAACUAUCUCAGACAAAAAAAUAAAAUUUGGAUUAGCUCUCCAUGGUGCACAAUACUUUCAUGAACCAUCUCUUUUGGGUUGGCAGCUGCAGUGUGUUCUGAGAGUAUGUUAAUGCUACAAUAACAGUAAAAAUAAAAUUAAGUUGGGAACAUACAGAAAAAAAGAAAUUGAUUACAUUAUUCCUAAUGACGACCUGAAUCAAAGUUGGCACUAAAUAAAUUUUUGUCAGAAAGGAGAAAAGAAAUGAGAGAAAUAAAAGAGAGGAGGCAGGAUUUUAUAUUCUGCUCCCUUUUUGGAAAA